ACUCUCUGGUGCGUUUCAGGCUGUUCCCUGGCUGAGAGUGAAGACAGAACUAUAGCAUUCACCCCAAAAUUGGAGCAAAUUGAAACCUCUGUAAAUCUACCCUUGGGUCCUGUUUCUUCCUUGGUCACAGCGCAUCCCAAGUCAUCUCUGUGACAGACCUUCCUUAAUGGGGAAAUCUCCAGCUGCAAAUUAGCCCACAUUUUCAAGCAUUUCUUUGAAGCCAUCGGGGAACAACUCUCCAUCUUGAACCAGUGACUUCAGUGCCUUAGGGCUACACUGAAAGCUAAUGAACAACAGCAUCCUCACCUACAGCUAUGUACUUCCAGACAGUAUUUCAUGUCAAUGGGAAAAUAUCCAAUGGACUUUCACAGGAGAUGUUCAGAAGGUCUGGAGCACAGAGCUCAAUUGUUUAAGGAUUGGAAGAAGGAGGUUUUUAGAAAGCCUGAAAGUGAUCAUACCUUCACUCUCCAUCUCUGUCUGUUUUUAAGGAUAACAAAUGUGGUAACUGGAGGUGGAUGUCUGAUUUGCAUGCAAUGACUGCCAGUUUGCAGGGAGCUUUUUGCUGUCACUGGUGGGAAGAUAACGUUUAUUUUCAUUUAAUUGUAUUUUUGUGGGCAUAUCAUUAUGCCUCGUGAUUUUAAAUGAACCAGCAAAAUUUAACUAGUAACAAUCAUUAUAGUUUAAUACUCAUAGAUUUCAGUGAAAUGAGUGGUAAGAUACGUAUUAACUUUAAUAGCCACAAGACCAGACUUUAAUGGUACAUGACAUCACCUAAGAGUCUUUUAAAGAUAUUGCUUUAGAAUGAAAGAGGAAAAGUGUUUAAAGUUCUCUUCUUGUACAAGACAAAAGAUGUGGUUUUAUGUUAAGUUUGAAAAAAUUAUCACAUGACUUUGUAAAAUAAUUCAACUUAAUAGAUAAUCAGAUUUGCAGAUUCUCAUAUGGAUUACCAAACUAGUAACUACUUUCAUGGCAUUAUUACUAAAAAAAAGAAUUAUUAUUUGCAAAUCACAUAAAAAUAAGUAGAAGAAAUUUGAGAAGUCACUGUAGUGCACUGGGGUGAGAAGCAGUAGUAACUAUGUCAAAAACACUUGAAUGCGGAAGAUUCAACAUUUCAUAGAGGUUUUUUGUUUGUUUGUUUGUUUGUUUGUUUUUUAAGUAAUAAAGUCCUCCACUUUCCU
Molecule: long non-coding RNA, 1178 nt
Organism: Gallus gallus (chicken)
Lineage: Eukaryota; Metazoa; Chordata; Aves; Galliformes; Phasianidae
Source: Ensembl